AGCGAACGCUGGCGGCGUGCUUAACACAUGCAAGUCGAGCGAAGGUGUUUCAAGGGUAACCUUGAGAUACACUUAGCGGCGGACGGGUGAGUAAUACGUGGAUAACUUACCUCUAGGCCUGGGAUAACCCCGGGAAACUGGGGCUAAUACCUGAUAAGACCACAUUGUCUACGGACAAAGGGGUAAAAGGUGGCUGUGCAAACAGCUAUCGCCAAAAGAUAGGUUCACGUCCCAUCAGGCAGUGGUGAGGUAAUGGCUCACCAAACCAAAGACGGGUAGCCGGCCUUGGCGGGUGAACGGCCACACGGGGACUGAGACACGGCCCCGACUCCUACGGGAGGCAGCAGUGGGGAAUAUUGGGCAAUGGGCGCAAGCCUGACCCAGCGACGUCGCGUUUGGGGAAGAAGGCCUUCGGGUUGUAACCCACUGUCGGGAGGGAAAGAGUGGGUCGUGUUUGUC
RNAcentral lists this ribosomal RNA (459 nucleotides) under uncultured bacterium. RNAcentral describes it as "bacterial SSU rRNA". It matches the Rfam family "Bacterial small subunit ribosomal RNA", at positions 29 to 466 of the family's 1533-position model. The record is from RNAcentral.